AGCUUCUGGAAAUCAUAAGAAGUAACGUCUGCCCGGUGAUCUACGGAUUUAACGGCCGCGAUUUUCGUGCUAAGGUAGCAUAAUCAUUUGUCUUUUAAUUGGAGGCUAGAAUGAAUGGACUUACGAGGCUAAGCUGUCUCUACCUAUUUAAUAAAAAUUGAUUUAAAGGUGAAAAAUCCUUUAUAAAUGUGAAGGACGAAAAGACCCUAUAGAGUUUGUAGUGGAGUUAAAAGUUUCAUAAUUAACAGAAAUUCUAACGAAUAAUAUUAUAUUAAAAAAUAAUUAAACACACUUUUAUUGGGGCAAUAGAAGAACCAAAAAAUUCUAAAUUAAUUAAAUUUAUGAUAAUAAAAUUUAUGAUCCUCAAAGAGAAUUAAGAAAAACUACCUUAGGGAUAACAGCGUAAUCCUACCAGAGAGAACUAAUCGAAGGAAGGGUUUGCGACCUCGAUGUUGGACUAAGGGAUCUUUAAAGUGCAGAAGCUUUAAUUUGUAGGCCUGUUCGGCGUUUAAUACCUUACAUG
This 523-nucleotide ribosomal RNA is filed under the name Pomocellaria varians. RNAcentral describes it as "partial 16S ribosomal RNA". It matches the Rfam family "Bacterial large subunit ribosomal RNA", at positions 1817 to 2602 of the family's 2925-position model. The record is from RNAcentral. Lineage: Eukaryota; Metazoa; Bryozoa; Gymnolaemata; Cheilostomatida; Candidae.